Molecule: long non-coding RNA, 506 nt
Organism: Manduca sexta (tobacco hornworm)
Lineage: Eukaryota; Metazoa; Arthropoda; Insecta; Lepidoptera; Sphingidae
Exons: 2
Source: RefSeq, a predicted model, not a curated record
UAGACAGGGCCCAACCGAAUCCGUCCCCUCAGUAAUAACGACCUUUGAUCAUUCAAAGAUCGUCAUUGCUGGUUAUUCAUAUACCUUUACACAGAGGUACUUCCUAUUUCUAAAAUAAUCUUUGUCUUCUCUUAUUUGAUUGAAUUGAUUAUUGAUGUCAAAAGGAAUUCUAUGCUUUAUGGUUUUAACUUUUAUGUAAAUGUCUAUAAAUUCAAAUUAAUAAGUAAGUUAAAAUCGUUAUUAUGAUUCAAUACACAUUCUCAUUCUGUAGCUGCGAUGAACCAGGACAAAAAUCCAAUUUUAACGACGGCUUCCCAAGUUCUGAUCAAAUCUGGGGAAUGAUAGGCACAAUAUUUGCCUCUGUUGCAUGUUGGAUUUUGUAUAGAAAGAUAAAAGUACAAAACACAAAUGUUCAAGAAUAUCGUCACCGAAACAAAGGACGACUAACAUCACACUCUUUUAGAUAAAUAUUAUGUAGGUAAUAAAUAAAAAAUCGUUUAAAAAUA